AAAUGCUGGGUUAUUUUUGUAACCCAAACGCUGGGUUAGGUACGGGUUGGGUAGUUUUAACCCAUAAUGUUAACCCAGCCAGUAACCCAUUUCAUUGGGUUACGAGACUGCUCUGAUGUCAGUGAAUGAUUGUUUCAAAUUUCAACUGACAAUAUGGGCCACGCUGCAGAAAAUGCUCAAGAAGUCGGUGAAAUUAAAGUCCUAUGUAAGUUGAAAAGAUAGCCAGGGAGCCUGUUGCUGGGUGGAGCUGUCUUGUUACUGUACGCGACCAUGUCUGAAAAUAAGUGGAACUAGUCGGUUUCUGAAGCAAAGAAGAUGGCCAGGACUCCUUGCUGAUAGAUGGGAGCCAGAUAGAGUUGGUAGAGCUACCCAGUUCUACUCUCUACUCUACCCAAGACACUUGCUGUUGGAUGGAAGCUGUCUGGUUUCAGUACAUACCUAAAUAUGCUGAGCCAGGUACGCCUUACUGCUGGAUAGGAGCUGUCUUAAGUUGCUAGAGCUGAGGAGACAGCCGGGCACUCCUUGCUGCUGGAUGGGAACCGUCUACAUUUGCUAGAGUGUUCCUCUGGCUGCAGUCUUCUCUCAUAAGAAUGAGGGGAUGAUGAUCCCUGCCCUGACUCUCCACACAGCCAGGGAGAGCGCGAGUAACGUGUGCACGCACACGAGCACGCACACACACACACACACACACACACACACACUACUGGAUGUCUUUCUGGAUGUCAGUGUUGUUUUAAUUAAUUAAGUGUGUGUCUUUAGUAAAAAAUUAAAAAAAAUAAUUAUAGUGUUAAAAAAUAUUAGAUGAGAUCCAUCCCACCCCCUAGUCACCGAAUCCUACCCCUCCCCUCGAAAAUAUUAGUUUACUACUUAUUCAUGAAAACAUAAUUUUUGGCAUUUCGCAGCACUGUUUCAAUGAAUAGAGUAGCUGUAAUACCUACAUUGGACACAAUCUUACACACUGCACCUUUUUAAAAUCCCUUGCGCAUAGAAGCAGUAAACUUUUAAAUAAGUCCAAUUCAAAGGAGUUAUCCGUACUGCAUAUUAUAGUAUGGUGUGUUGUAUUAUCUUUUUAUUGCCAGUAUUUCAUUGUAAUCUUUUUGGCUGCUACCGUAUGUUUUUUAUUUUAUUUUUAUUAUUUAUUUAUUUAUUUAUUUUAUUUAACGCCUGAAGGCAAGACAAAUAGUCUUUGGUGCAGGAAAGGUUUCUUAAUGGUUAUGGCCAUUUCAGUUAGAAGCCAAGUGUUUUGCUUAUUUCUGUGUUAAUUUUUUAUUUUUUGCCCUUAAUACCUACUGGGAUCGUGGUUGUUAAUUGAAUGCUUGAUUAAUUUUUGUUUUUUAGAAUAUUAAAUAAACUGACUUUCUACUUUAUAAGCUGUAUUUGUGUAGUAUUUGCAUUAUGCCAUUAUUAAUUAACAUUACAUAAAGACAUUAAAUGAAUACAAUA
Long non-coding RNA from Engraulis encrasicolus (European anchovy), 1443 nucleotides. RefSeq lists it as uncharacterized. The record is from RefSeq and is a predicted model, not a curated record. The transcript is spliced from 7 exons. NCBI's taxonomy places the organism in Eukaryota, Metazoa, Chordata, Actinopteri, Clupeiformes, Engraulidae.